This 253-nucleotide ribosomal RNA is filed under the name uncultured bacterium. Its description in RNAcentral is "partial 16S ribosomal RNA". It matches the Rfam family "Bacterial small subunit ribosomal RNA", at positions 524 to 776 of the family's 1533-position model. The record is from RNAcentral.
GACAGAGGCCCCGAGCGUUAGGCGGAAUCACUGGGCUUAAAGCGUGUGUAGGCGGACCGGUAAGUACCUUGUGAAAUCCCACGGCUCACCCGUGGAACUGCUGGGUAUACUGCCGGUCUUUGGCCAACUAGGGGCGACUGGAACAAGCGGUGGAGCGGUGAAAUGCGUAGAUAUCAUUUGGAACGCCAAUGGUGAAAACAGCUCGCUGGGAAUGAUCUGACGCUGAGACGCGAAAGCCAGGGGAGCGAACGGG